GUGGGGAAUAUUGGGCAAUGGAUGCAAGUCUGACCCAGCCAUCCCGCGUGCCGGAAGAAGGCCCUCAGGGUUGUAAACGGCUUUUGACGGUGAAGAAUCGACAGGAUGCGUCCUGUUUUGUCGGUAGCCGUUGAAUAAGCACCGGCUAACUCCGUGCCAGCAGCCGCGGUAAUACGGAGGGUGCGAGCGUUGUCCGGAUUUAUUGGGUUUAAAGGGUGCGUAGGCUGGAAGGUCAGUCAGCGGUGAAAAGCUGUCGCUUAACGAUAGUCUUGCCGCAGAUACUUCCUUUCUUGGAUGAGGAGGAGGCCACUGGAACGGAUGGUGUAGCGGUGAAAUGCAUAGAUAUCAUCCAGAACACCGAUUGCGAAGGCAGGUGGCUGUACCUUAAUCGACGCUGAUGCACGAAAGCAUGGGGAGCAAACAGGAUUAGAAACCCUGGUAGUCC
RNAcentral lists this ribosomal RNA (445 nucleotides) under uncultured bacterium. RNAcentral describes it as "partial 16S ribosomal RNA". It matches the Rfam family "Bacterial small subunit ribosomal RNA", at positions 354 to 796 of the family's 1533-position model. The record is from RNAcentral.